This 914-nucleotide ribosomal RNA is filed under the name uncultured bacterium. RNAcentral describes it as "bacterial SSU rRNA". It matches the Rfam family "Bacterial small subunit ribosomal RNA", at positions 61 to 971 of the family's 1533-position model. The record is from RNAcentral.
GUCGUGCGAGAAAGUUCUUCGGAUAUGAGUAGAGCGGCGGACGGGUGAGUAACGCGUAGGAAUCUACCUAGUAGAAGGGGAUAGCCCGGGGAAACCCGGAUUAAUACCGUAUACCUCCUUCAGGAGAAAGAAGGCCUCUCUUUGAAGCUUUCGCUAUUAGAUGAGCCUGCGUAAGAUUAGCUUGUUGGUGAGGUAAAGGCUCACCAAGGCGACGAUCUUUAGCUGGUCUGAGAGGACGAUCAGCCACAUUGGGACUGAGACACGGCCCAGACUCCUACGGGAGGCAGCAGUGGGGAAUAUUGGACAAUGGGCGCAAGCCUGAUCCAGCCAUACCGCGUGUGUGAAGAAGGCCUUCGGGUUGUAAAGCACUUUAAGCAGGGAGAAAAAGUUAUAAGUUAAUACCUUAUAACCGUGAUGUUACCUGCAGAAUAAGCACCGGCUAAUUCCGUGCCAGCAGCCGCGGUAAUACGGAAGGUGCAAGCGUUAAUCGGAAUUACUGGGCGUAAAGCGCGCGUAGGUGGUUUGUUAAGUUGGAUGUGAAAGCCCUGGGCUCAACCUAGGAACUGCAUCCAAAACUAACUCACUAGAGUACGAUAGAGGGAGGUAGAAUUCAUAGUGUAGCGGUGGAAUGCGUAGAUAUUAUGAAGAAUACCAGUGGCGAAGGCGGCCUCCUGGAUCUGUACUGACACUGAGGUGCGAAAGCGUGGGUAGCGAACAGGAUUAGAUACCCUGGUAGUCCACGCCGUAAACGAUGACAACUAGCUGUUGGAAGACAAAGUCUUUCAGUGGCGCAGCUAACGUUUUAAGUUGUCCGCCUGGGGAGUACGGCCGCAAGGCUAAAACUCAAAUGAAUUGACGGGGACCCGCACAAGCGGUGGAGCAUGUGGUUUAAUUCGAUGCAACGCGAAAAACCU